Molecule: ribosomal RNA, 470 nt
Filed under: uncultured bacterium
Lineage: Bacteria
Description: bacterial SSU rRNA
Rfam family: Bacterial small subunit ribosomal RNA
Source: RNAcentral
AGAGUUUGAUCCUGGCUCAGAACGAACGCUGGCGGCAGGCUUAACACAUGCAGGUCGAACGCCCCGCAAGGGGAGUGGCAGACGGGUGAGUAACACGUGGGAACAUGCCCAAAGGUACGGAAUAUUCUCGGGAAACUGGGAGCAAUACCGUAUGUGCCCGAAAGGGGAAAGAUUUAUCGCCUUUGGAUUGGCCCGCGUCGGAUUAGCUUGUUGGUGGGGUAAUGGCCUACCAAGGCGACGAUCCGUAGCUGGUCUGAGAGGACGACCAGCCACACUGGGACUGAGACACGGCCCAGACUCCUACGGGAGGCAGCAGUGGGGAAUCUUGGACAAUGGGCGCAAGCCUGAUCCAGCCAUGCCGCGUGAGGGAUGAAGGCCCUAGGGUUGUAAAACUCUUUCGUCAGGGACGAUAAUGACGGUACCUGAAGAAGAAGCCCCGGCUAACUUCGUGCCAGCCGCCGCGGUAAUAC